CCCCCCACUUGGAGGAAGCUCUGACCAUCGGUCAGCACCACGUGAUAAUGGGGAAAGGGAGAGGGUGCCAUGCAAUGGGAAGCAACGAGGAACCACGGAGAAUACAGGACUGUAGUAGGUAGCUUUAAACAAGGACGAGAUGCAUUCAGUUGAAGGCAAAGACACAAGGGAGCUGUGUACGCACUUCAUUAUGUCGCUGCAGUGCAGAGUCUUUAAGACAUUUGAUUCAGCCGCCGGCAAGGAAGAGGAGUCUGGAAGAUUCUGUGGCAUCUCUAUUCAGCGAGCGUCCCAGCUGCAGAGAAUCCCUGCCUAAGUCUUUCAUCCACUCCCCUGGGAUCUGUUGAGGGCCCAUCAGUACCAGGUGCGGCGGAAAAUCUGAGGCACCUUGGCUAGGAGCCCAUGGUGAAACCCGGCUUUGGCUCCUGUCUCCCCAUCCUCUAUGAGCAGUGGCAGCUACAGCUGCUGGAGUGGGAGCUGCAGCAGUGGGGCGUGGCCUGCAGGGCUGUUGGAGUCCAUCGCACACUGAUGGAAAGGAAGCGGAACCUUCACUCAAGUUGGCCAAGCACAGAAACCACCAAGCAGGAAAAAUGUGGGCGGGGCCGGGAGGAGAAGGUGGAGAGAGGUCUCAGGGUGUUGGGUUUUGAAACCUUCUGUCUUGACUGAGGCCCAGGCUCUCAGCACAGGGUCCCUGACACAUGGCUGAGGAAUUCCCAGUGGCCUUGGAUGACAUUUCAGUUCAUUUCUCUGA
Mus musculus (house mouse) is the source of this 748-nucleotide long non-coding RNA. RefSeq annotates it as predicted gene, 33929. The transcript is spliced from 3 exons. Lineage: Eukaryota; Metazoa; Chordata; Mammalia; Rodentia; Muridae. The record is from RefSeq and is a predicted model, not a curated record.